AGGCCUUUACUGACGCUAAAGCUCGAAGUGCGGUAUCGAACAGGAUUAGAUACCCUGGUAGUCCGCACGGUAAACGAUGGAUGCCCGCUGUUUGCGAUAUACUGUGAGCGGGCCAAGAGAAAUCGUUAAGCAUCCCACCUGGGGAGUACGCCGGCAACGGUGAAACUCAAAGGAAUUGACGGGGGCCCGCACAAGCGGAGGAACAUGUGGUUUAAUUCGAUGAUACGCGAGGAACCUUACCCGGGCUUGAACUGCAGGAGAACGAUUCAGAGAUGAUGAGGCCCUUCGGGGCUCCUGUGGAGGUGCUGCAUGGUUGUCGUCAGCUCGUGCCGUGAGGUGUCGGCUUAAGUGCCAUAACGAGCGCAACCCUUUUCAUUAGUUGCCAUCAGGUAAUGCUGGGCACUCUGGUGAUACUGCCACCGUAAGGUGUGAGGAAGGUGGGGAUGACGUCAAAUCAGCACGGCCCUUACGUCCGGGGCUACACACGUGUUACAAUGGGGGGUACAGAGAGUCGGAUGUACGCAAGUACAUUCUAAUCCUUAAAGCCUUCCUCAGUUCGGAUUGGGGUCUGCAACCCGACCCCAUGAAGCUGGAUUCGCUAGUAAUCGCGCAUCAGCCAUGGCGCGGUGAAUACGUUCCCGGGCCUUGUACACACCGCCCGUCAAGCCAUGAAAGCCGGGGGCGCUUGAAGUCCGUGACCGCAAGGAUCGGCCUAGAGCGAAACUGGUAAUUGGGGCUAAGUCGUAACAAGGUAGCCGUA
This 760-nucleotide ribosomal RNA is filed under the name uncultured Prevotella sp. RNAcentral's name for it is "bacterial SSU rRNA". It matches the Rfam family "Bacterial small subunit ribosomal RNA", at positions 731 to 1504 of the family's 1533-position model. The record is from RNAcentral. Lineage: Bacteria; Pseudomonadati; Bacteroidota; Bacteroidia; Bacteroidales; Prevotellaceae.